AAUUGUGAACGAACAGAAGCAGACAUCUAUAGCAGAUGAUGUGCAGAACAUACACAAAGCGAUCUCUUAGGUGACUGAAACAGCACAAUUCUUUGAUUUGAUUAAACGGAUUUAUAGUACCAUUUGAUGCUCUCCACAAUAUGGUCCUAGGCCAAGGUAGCUCUGCCACUUUUGUCUUAUCUGCACGAACACUCCCCGUGGCUGAAGUAGGUUUUGGCUUUUCAAGUGCAGUCCGCUCAAACAUACAAGGGCAUGGAACCAAACGAAACUGUUAGGGGGACAGCGCAAUCUUGGACUUAUCUGCUAUCCAUAAAACCAUCCACCAGCUGCUUGGUUCCUUGAUCUACCCAGCAUAUGCAACUAACUCAAAGCACAAGGAAGAAAUCUGGACCCACAAUAACGAACCAGUUUCUAGAAAUCAAAAGAAAAGGCCAAAAAA
This 439-nucleotide unclassified non-coding RNA is filed under the name Hevea brasiliensis (rubber tree). The record is from RNAcentral. Lineage: Eukaryota; Viridiplantae; Streptophyta; Magnoliopsida; Malpighiales; Euphorbiaceae.